RNAcentral lists this ribosomal RNA (405 nucleotides) under uncultured bacterium. RNAcentral's name for it is "partial 16S ribosomal RNA". It matches the Rfam family "Bacterial small subunit ribosomal RNA", at positions 28 to 526 of the family's 1533-position model. The record is from RNAcentral.
GAUGAACGCUGGCGGCGUGCCUAAUACAUGCAAGUCGAGCGAAGCGGGGACGGGUGAGUAACACGUGGAUAACCUCCUAUAAGACUGGGAUAAUUUCGGGAAACCGGACCUAAACCGGAUACUUAUUAAUGGAUCCGCGCGGCAUUAGCUAGUUGGUAAGGUAACGGCUUACCAAGGCGACGAUGCGUAGACGACCUGAGAGGGUGAUCGGCCACACUGGAACGGAGACACGGUCCAGACUCCUACGGGAGGCAGCAGUAGGGAAUCUUCCGCAAUGGGCGAAAGCCUGACGGAGCAACGCCGCGUGAGUGAUGAAGGUCUUCGGAUCGUAAAACUCCGUUAUUAGGGAAGCGGUACCUAAUCAGAAAGCCACGGCUAACUACGUGCCAGCAGCCGCGGUAAUAC